RNAcentral lists this ribosomal RNA (159 nucleotides) under Triticum aestivum (bread wheat). RNAcentral's name for it is "partial small subunit ribosomal RNA". Lineage: Eukaryota; Viridiplantae; Streptophyta; Magnoliopsida; Poales; Poaceae. The record is from RNAcentral.
AUGAAUGCAUAUUGUACUGCCCAGGAUUAUACUGCAAAACUCUCUGAUUUUGGAUUGGCAAAGGAUGGUCCUGUUGGUGAAGACAGUCAUGUGACCACAAGGGUAAUGGGAACAUAUGGUUAUGCAGCUCCAGAAUAUGUGUCAACAGGUAACUUUUGA